AGACUACAAAGAAGGAAUGAAGAAAGAAAUGCAUCUGGGCUUCUAUCCAAUUUGAUUACUGUCAACCUCAUCCAGCUGAGAAGGGAAAAGACAGAUGUAUUGAUGGUCACCGAAAUGAGAUGGAACAAAAGACAACAACCUGAGCAGAGAAGAAAAGGUACUCUUUAAAUGGUUGUGUUUUGAUGGUGUUUUAUUCUGGUCCUUCAGAGCUUCCUGCAUACCCCUGUAUGCCAAGUAAUCCCCUCUU
Molecule: long non-coding RNA, 247 nt
Filed under: Numida meleagris (helmeted guineafowl)
Lineage: Eukaryota; Metazoa; Chordata; Aves; Galliformes; Numididae
Description: lncRNA (ENSNMEG00000000788.1)
Source: RNAcentral